RNAcentral lists this transfer RNA (84 nucleotides) under bacterium. Its description in RNAcentral is "tRNA-Leu". It matches the Rfam family "tRNA". Rfam says of the family: Transfer RNA (tRNA) molecules are approximately 80 nucleotides in length. The record is from RNAcentral.
GUCCACGUGGCGGAAUUGGUAGACGCGCUACCUUGAGGGGGUAGUGGGAGUAUUCCCGUGCUGGUUCAACUCCAGUCGUGGACA